UCCCUUAUAAUGAAUAAAUAAAGAAAAGUGAGGGAGAAAGAAGAAAAAGACAAGAUAGGGUAAGCUAAGAGGAAGGAAGACCGUUUGAUCACAUGCAAAGGAUGGAGGCCAUUAGUUGCUUUCGAUGGUUCACCGUAUAGGUUAGGGCUGAUCAAUGUGUGACAAGUGACAGAAUGAUGUUGCGGAGUUGAUAGUGGUCUGCACCAUACAGGCAGCUGGCUAGUGGGAGACGAGCAGAGCGUGUCUGCAUAUGUGCAGGCGUGCACGUCCUAUCACAAGGGUGGGGGAAAAAUGCCCACAAGGCAUGUAAAUGCAUGUGAGGCUUUCUGCGUGAGCCGUGAGUUAGCUUCUAUAAAUAAAUCCUGUGGGGCUAUUUUUAGGAAUUAU
This 387-nucleotide long non-coding RNA is filed under the name Carica papaya (papaya). RNAcentral's name for it is "long non-coding RNA (CPAP_LNC003420)". Lineage: Eukaryota; Viridiplantae; Streptophyta; Magnoliopsida; Brassicales; Caricaceae. The record is from RNAcentral.